MicroRNA precursor from Brassica oleracea var. oleracea, 120 nucleotides. It matches the Rfam family "MIR9563 microRNA precursor family". The record is from Rfam. Lineage: Eukaryota; Viridiplantae; Streptophyta; Magnoliopsida; Brassicales; Brassicaceae.
GGAAGUUAAGAAACUGUUUCUUAACUUUUAACUAAAAAAGCUAAGAACCGGUUCUUAAAGUCCUUAUUUAAGAACCGGUUCUUAGCUUUUUUUAGUUAAGGAAACAGUUUAUUAACUUCC